RNAcentral lists this ribosomal RNA (407 nucleotides) under uncultured bacterium. RNAcentral's name for it is "partial 16S ribosomal RNA". It matches the Rfam family "Bacterial small subunit ribosomal RNA", at positions 30 to 526 of the family's 1533-position model. The record is from RNAcentral.
AUUGAACGCUGGCGGCAGGCCUAACACAUGCAAGUCGAGCGGAGCGGCGGACGGGUGAGUAAGGCCUAGGAAUCUGCCUGGUCGUGGGGGAGAACGUCCGGAAACGGGCACUAAUACAGCAUACUAUCAGAUGAGGCUAGGUCGGAAUAGCUUGUUGGUGGGGUAAAGGCCUACCAAGGCAACGAUCCAUAGCUGGUCUGAGAGGAUGAUCAGUCACACUGGAACUGAGACACGGUCCAGACUCCUACGGGAGGCAGCAGUGGGGAAUAUUGGACAAUGGGCGAAAGCCUGAUCCAGCCAUGCAGCGUGUGUGAAGAAGGUCUGCGGAUUGUAAAGCACUUUAAGUUGGGAGGCGUUACCAAAAGAAUAAGAACCGGCUAACUCCGUGCCAGCAGCCGCGGUAAUAC